UCUUGUGUCUUGUCUAUAGGAAGGGAGUGUAUCCUGGUGUAUGACAGCAUAUAGUAGAGACCAUUGUCAGUUAGAGCCUGUGAACUGAGACAGGGUGACUGGCUAAGUCCACAACCCAUUAGAAACCCAGAAAUAAUCAAAUCAUGGAGAGAUUAGACCAGGGACAAUAAAUAUAGAUUAGGCAAGAAUGCGUUAACUCAGCAGGCCAGGGUUUCUUCAACCCUGAACAUUCAAAGAGGGAUCAUGGAAAGGAAGCUGAAUUUGCUGAGUUUUGCCACAUGGGCAUUGUAUGCCUAUGUGAUUAACCACCAAUAAAAACCUGGGACAUCAAAGGAUAAAUAAGCUGCUCUAAUUGCCAAGAAUUCACAUGUGGUUGUAUGCAGCAUUACUGGGAGAUUGAAGUGUAUCUGCAUGUGAUUCUACUGUGAUGGGACACUUGUAAGUUUGUGCCUGGAGUCUCCUGGACUUUGCCCUGAGAAUCUUUUUCCUUUGUUGAUAUGAAUCUGCAUCCUUUUGUGUUAAUAAACUAUAAACAUGAGUAUAAUUGCUUCUCUGAGUUCUGAGAGAUUUUAAAUAAAUAAUCAAAGCUGAAGACCAAUGGGGACCCCCACCAAAACAUCUUUACACAUUUCAAUUUUGUAUUGAAGUAAAUUUUAUUUUCUUUUUUAUACCUCCCAUAU
This 680-nucleotide long non-coding RNA is filed under the name Pongo abelii (Sumatran orangutan). Its description in RNAcentral is "lincRNA". Lineage: Eukaryota; Metazoa; Chordata; Mammalia; Primates; Hominidae. The record is from RNAcentral.